Molecule: ribosomal RNA, 509 nt
Filed under: uncultured bacterium
Lineage: Bacteria
Description: partial 16S ribosomal RNA
Rfam family: Bacterial small subunit ribosomal RNA
Source: RNAcentral
GACGAACGCUGGCGGCGUGCUUAACACAUGCAAGUCGAACGAAGAGCGAUGGAAGCUUUCUUCUAUCAAUCUUAGUGGCGAACGGGUGAGUAACGCGUAAUCAACCUGCCCUUCAGAGGGGGACAACAGUUGGAAACGACUGCUAAUACCGCAUACGAUCUAAUCUCGGCAUCGAGGAUAGAUGAAAGGUGGCCUCUACAUGUAAGCUAUCACUGAAGGAGGGGAUUGCGUCUGAUUAGCUAGUUGGAGGGGUAACGGCCCACCAAGGCGAUGAUCAGUAGCCGGUCUGAGAGGAUGAACGGCCACAUUGGGACUGAGACACGGCCCAGACUCCUACGGGAGGCAGCAGUGGGGAAUCUUCCGCAAUGGACGAAAGUCUGACGGAGCAACGCCGCGUGAGCGAUGACGGCCUUCGGGUUGUAAAGCUCUGUUAAUCGGGACGAAAGGCCUUCUUGCGAAUAGUGAGAAGGAUUGACGGUACCGGAAUAGAAAGCCCCGGCUAACUACGU